Molecule: long non-coding RNA, 311 nt
Filed under: Capsicum annuum
Lineage: Eukaryota; Viridiplantae; Streptophyta; Magnoliopsida; Solanales; Solanaceae
Description: long non-coding RNA (CANN_LNC002525)
Source: RNAcentral
UGAACUAGAGUCAGUUGACGAAGAAUCAUCAUCGCUGGAUUCUUCUUUUUUAGAGGCAGCAACAGGCGCCUUCUUAACAACAGGCGCCUUCUUAACAACAGGCGCCUUCUGAACAACAGCAUCAUCCUCAGAGCUGCUAUCAUCCUCAUCACUUGACUCAUCUUUCUUAGAGCCAUUAGUUGGAGGUUUCUUGGGUGCAGGUUCAUCUUCCUCAGAGCUGCUAUCAUCCGACUCAUCACUUGACUCAUCUUUCUUCUUAGCAGCAACACCAUUCUUGGUUGAAACCACAACAACCUUCUUAGAAGGAGCCU